AAUCAACGCUGGCGGCGUGCCUAACACAUGCAAGUCGAACGAGAAAGCGGGGGCAACUCCGUGAGUAAAGUGGCAGACGGGUGAGUAACACGUGAACAACCUACCUUUGAGUGGGGAAUAACACCGCGAAAGCGGUGCUAAAACCGCAUAACAUCUUCGGAUCGCAUGACCUGGAGAUCAAAGGCGAAAGUCGCUCGAAGAGGGGUUCGCGCCUGAUUAGCUAGUUGGUGAGGUGACGGCCCACCAAGGCAACGAUCAGUAGCCGGCCUGAGAGGGCGUACGGCCACACUGGAACUGAGACACGGUCCAGACUCCUACGGGUGGCUG
This 327-nucleotide ribosomal RNA is filed under the name uncultured Acidobacteriota bacterium. RNAcentral describes it as "bacterial SSU rRNA". It matches the Rfam family "Bacterial small subunit ribosomal RNA", at positions 32 to 351 of the family's 1533-position model. Lineage: Bacteria; Pseudomonadati; Acidobacteriota. The record is from RNAcentral.